This 294-nucleotide unclassified non-coding RNA is filed under the name Hevea brasiliensis (rubber tree). The record is from RNAcentral. Lineage: Eukaryota; Viridiplantae; Streptophyta; Magnoliopsida; Malpighiales; Euphorbiaceae.
AGAUAAUGUACUUAAUAACGCACUACCUGCAAUUAUGACCCAGUUAGGACCCUCACUCUGAACACCAUUGGACUUCUGGGACCUUGACACCCCGUUGGUUCUUGGCUUCAUUUCUAUAGUCACUGAAGUAGUAGAUGGAGAGGCUGCAGAUCAUGAAAGUAAUCCUUCACGUCAAGUGCUGAUGCCACACCUUCAUGAGUCUGAUUACAGUAACAGAACAAUGACAGCAAGAUCCCACAGGAAAUAAUGUAUUCUGAUUAAUCAAGAAGAUGCAUCUAUCGACCAAGAACUGAU